UCUAAGCACGAAACUUGCCCCGAGAUGAGUUCUCCCUGAGACUAUAAGUCUCCUGAAGGAACGUUAAAGACGAUGACGUUGAUAGGUCGGGUGUGUAAGCGUAGCGAUACGUUGAGCUAACCGAUACUAAUGAACCGUGAGGCUUAACCUUACAACGCCGAAG
This 163-nucleotide ribosomal RNA is filed under the name Escherichia coli. Its description in RNAcentral is "partial 23S ribosomal RNA". It matches the Rfam family "Bacterial large subunit ribosomal RNA", at positions 2780 to 2925 of the family's 2925-position model. The record is from RNAcentral. Lineage: Bacteria; Pseudomonadati; Pseudomonadota; Gammaproteobacteria; Enterobacterales; Enterobacteriaceae.